RNAcentral lists this ribosomal RNA (486 nucleotides) under Triticum aestivum (bread wheat). RNAcentral's name for it is "partial small subunit ribosomal RNA". The record is from RNAcentral. Lineage: Eukaryota; Viridiplantae; Streptophyta; Magnoliopsida; Poales; Poaceae.
AUGGAUAAUGUGCAUAAGCUACAUGGGAUGCCAGAGUCCAUUGUGUCUGCUCGAGAUCGCGUGUUCACCAGCCGCUUCUGGCGUGAACUGGCUGCUCUCACUGGAGUUAAGCUUCGUAUGAGUUCUUCGCAGCACCCCCAAACAGAUGGAACUUCUGAACGUGUGAAUCAAUGUUUGGAAGGUUACUUGCGGUGUUUUACGCAUGCUUGUCCUGUCAAAUGGGCCCAAUGGCUAUCACUGGCAGAAUUUUGGUAUAAUACCAGUUUGCAUUCUGCUCUGGAUGGUAAAUCUCCGUUCGAGGUUCUGUAUGGACAUACGGCACGGCACUUUGGCAUUACUACAGCCGAUGCAUGUUCUGUGCCUGAACUGGAUGAAUGGCUUAAAGAGAGAGCACUGACAUUACGUUUGUUGCAGCAGCAUUUGGAGAACAGUAUAAGGUGGAAGCCGAGCUACCUCCUGCUAGUGCUGCUCUUGCUGUUCCUGUGA